AAAGUAGAGGCCCGAAAAGAGCCCAAUACCCAAAGGAAUCCACCCAAGCCGAUGGUGGUUUUAGCCACGGGUCUCAGUCUCACUCCCAGAUUCUACUCCCGCUCCUCCAUCGUCGUCGCCGCGAGUUUGCUCCUCUCGGCGGCGCCCUCCUCGUCGUCCCCGCGCGCUCGUGCCGCUGCUCCGGCCAGCGGGUACUCCCCGUGGCGAGGCAGCAUUAGUAGAAUAUCAUCGCACCCAACAGCUAUGGCUACCACACAAGCCUCAGAAGCAGCCACUGAGAAAGGAUUGCCUUUGGGGAUGGAUGUCUCCAUGGUGGAUGAAUAUGCUUCCCAGUCCAAGCUGCUGCAGGAAUUCGUUAAAAUUCCCACUAUUGGCAACGCUUGGAUCUUCAAUUCCAAGACUGAAAACACAUCUAGGGCGAUAGUUUCUGUUGGCCAAACAGAUCUGUUGGCAAACAAAAAGAGGAGCUUCCUAUUAAAUUCCCACAUCUCAAAAAAUUCCUCAAAUUCUGUGGAUUUCCAGUGGUCUCCCUUCCCAAUCGAAAUGAGUGGAGUUUCAGCAGUAAUUCCAUCGCCAUCUGGGAGAAAACUUUUACUAAUACGGAAUUCUGAGGAUGAUUCCCCUACAAAACUAGAAGUUUGGGGCCCCUGUCAGUUGGAGAACGAGAUUCACAUUGCACAAUCUGUUCAUGGAUCACUCUAUGUCGACGAAUGGUUUGAAGGGAUAUCGUGGAAUCAAGAAGAGACUUUAGUAGCUUACGUUGCUGAGGAGCCUCCUCAACCGAAGCCAGAAUUCAAUGAUUCAGGAUACAAGAAGGCUGGCUCGUCUGAAAAAGACUGCAAGAGCUGGAAGGGAAAAGGGGAUUGGGAAGAAACUUGGGGAGAAACGUAUUCCAAGAAAAGGAUACCUGCAUUGUUCGUGGUCAACAUUUCAAGCGGUGAAGUGCGAGCUGUGAAGGGCAUACCGAGAACAUUAAGUGUUGGCCAAGUGAUUUGGGCUCCAUCAUCAUCACAUAGCCUGGUUUUUGUGGCGUGGUCAUCUGAUAAUGGUUACCAAAAGACACCAAGGAAACUUGGAAUUAAAUACUGCUUUAACAGACCUUGUGCUCUGUAUGCUGUUCCUGAUCCUUUCAUGGAAGAAGCUGAUAAGCCAUCACUUAAUGUCAGUAAGGGUGAAACUGCACCUACAACCAAGUUAACAUCAGAGUUGAGCAGUGCUUUUUUCCCACGAUUCAGUCCAGAUGGAAAGUAUCUUGUGUUUAUCUCAGCAAAGAGUGCUAUAGAUAGUGGAACACACAAUGCGACAAAUUCAAUGCAUAAGAUUGACUGGCCUGCAGAUGGGAAAUUGGAGGGCCUCAGUGUUGCUGAUGUGGUACCUAUUGUGAUGUGCCCUCAGGAUGGUUGUUUUCCUGGUCUGUACUGCUCUGGCAUACUUAGGAAUCCAUGGCUUACUGAUGGACAAACUAUGAUUUUAUCUUCUAUUUGGGGAAGUAAGGAAGUAAUACUUUCUGUAAAUGUUGUGAGCCGUGAAGUUUCAAGAGUUAGUCCUCAGGAUUCGGAUUAUUCAUGGAAUGUUCUUGCACUAGACAAGGAUAAUAUUCUUGCAGUUUCAAGCAGCCUUAUUACAGUUCCUCAAAUAUACUAUGGGUCUGAGGUUUGUCAGACUGGAAAACCAAACCAAUGGGAGUGGCAAGAAAUUGCAACUCCUUUUCCGAGUCCUUCUGAUAAGAUCAGUGCAAUAUUAGCAGACCAUAAGUUCAGUAUACUCAAAAUCCCGAUUAGCAACUCUUCUAACAAACUCGCUGAUGGUGCUAAGCUGCCCUUUGAGGCUAUUUUUGUGUCCUGGAAGGAUUCUGCAACAAGACCAACAAUUGUUGUUCUUCAUGGUGGACCACACACUGUUUACCCAUCAAGCUAUUCAAAAUCGUUAGCAUUUCUUUAUUCACAGGGAUAUAACCUUCUUGUUGUGAACUAUAGAGGUUCACUAGGCUUUGGUGAAGAAGCACUACAAUCUCUUCCUGGAAAUAUUGGUUCUCAGGAUGUGAAUGAUGUAUUGACGGCUUUGGACUUUGUUAUAAAGAAAGGAUUAAUAGAUGCAUCUAAAGUAGCUGUUGUUGGAGGUUCACACGGUGGUUUCCUGACAACUCAUUUGAUUGGCCAGGCUCCAGGCACUUUUGUUGCAGCAGCUGCUCGAAACCCAGUAUGUAAUUUAUCAUUGAUGGUAGGAACAACUGACAUACCUGAGUGGUGUUUUGUGGAGAUUUAUGGGAAAGAAGGGAAAAACUGCUUCUCAGAGUAUCCUUCAUUUGAUGAUCUUUGUCAAUUUCACCAGAAAUCACCAAUAUCACAUAUAUCAAAGUUUAAGAAAAUCUGCAGGUGAGCACGCCAACACUUUUUCUCCUUGGAGCACAAGAUCUCAGAGUUCCUGUUUCUAAUGGCUUACAGUAUGCAAGGACCUUGAAGGAGAUGGGAGUUGAAACCAAAAUUAUUGUCUUUCCAGAAGAUAUGCAUGGCCUUGACAAGCCACAGUCUGAUUUUGAAAGCUUCCUCAAUAUAGGUGUUUGGUUCAAGAAGCACAUGAGCAAAUAAACAACAUGCCUCUGUUACCACACUCUCACCUUGCUUAAUAAAUGCUUGUAAUUUGGGUCAAAGCAGCCCAAGGAAACGUGGUUCUGUUGGCAUUCUAAUAAAUUAAGCCUGCUGUAACAUUUCUGUACUGGGAUAAUUCUUGAAAAUGUAAAUGCAUUUGGUUAUAAAAUUUUACCCUCGUGGUACGGAACUAUGGAUUACAAAUAUGUGAUGUUAGAUUAUGCUUUACUUUGAA
Oryza sativa Japonica Group (Japanese rice) is the source of this 2823-nucleotide RNA transcript. It is a transcript of the gene named acylamino-acid-releasing enzyme 1-like, with no coding region annotated. Lineage: Eukaryota; Viridiplantae; Streptophyta; Magnoliopsida; Poales; Poaceae. The record is from RefSeq and is marked validated.